RNAcentral lists this long non-coding RNA (474 nucleotides) under Cicer arietinum (chickpea). RNAcentral's name for it is "long non-coding RNA (CARI_LNC001828)". Lineage: Eukaryota; Viridiplantae; Streptophyta; Magnoliopsida; Fabales; Fabaceae. The record is from RNAcentral.
GCAAAAAUUUUACAUGUACCUUAACUCAAUGUACUUUUACAUGAACUCAAUUUAUGUAUAUUUACGUGAACUUAGAUGAAGUACACAUUUCUCCUACUAAUUGCAAAAUUUUGCAUAUAGUAAACUAAGUUUAUGUACAUUUACGUGAAUUGAGUUUAAUAUUCACUUUCAUUAUUUACUACAAACUUUUGCAGAUAUUUAAAUUAAAUUUAAAUAUAUUGACGCAAACUCAAUUUAUGUACAUUUAUAUUAACUGAGAUUAAGUACGUAUUUCUCCUAAUCAUGAUAAAAUAUUACAAACAUGAACACGAAAUAUAUAAGAGUAUGUAAUUUACGUUUACAUACAAUAUAUAAUUUACCAGAUAUAUAAAAUGAUAAAUUUUUGGAUUUGUUAAUGGUACACGCGCAAAUGGACAGCCCAUACAGCUUCAUCGUCUUCACCCGAUUAGUAGUAAACGGGCCGCACAUAUCGAC